RNAcentral lists this transfer RNA (71 nucleotides) under Ovis aries (sheep). It matches the Rfam family "tRNA". Rfam says of the family: Transfer RNA (tRNA) molecules are approximately 80 nucleotides in length. The record is from Rfam by way of RNAcentral. Lineage: Eukaryota; Metazoa; Chordata; Mammalia; Artiodactyla; Bovidae.
UCCUGGUGGCUCAGAUGGUAAAGCGUCUGCCUACAAUGCAGGAGACCCGGGUUCGAUCCCUGGAUCAGGAA